This 1793-nucleotide long non-coding RNA is filed under the name Eucalyptus grandis. RNAcentral describes it as "long non-coding RNA (EGRA_LNC002363)". Lineage: Eukaryota; Viridiplantae; Streptophyta; Magnoliopsida; Myrtales; Myrtaceae. The record is from RNAcentral.
UUAACUUCCCGGGUUGAAUCAGCGAACGAGCCACCCAUAGCCGCGAAGAAGACAUCCAGCCCGUUCCAGAGCACCUCACCGCUCGCCGGGAACGAUUCUCCGGCUGUCCCGUACGGCGGCCCGAAGCCGCCGCUCGCCGGACCGUCUGGUUCCGCCUGCUCCGCCUGUUCCGCGUUUUCUUGCUGUUUCGCCCCUUUCCGACCCUUCCUUUGCCCAUCCCAACCUCCUACAAGAUCCCCAAGACCCCCGGGAGCCAUUGGUUGCCAACCACCCGCUUGCCGGAGCUCCGAUCGGCCCGUUUUUGCCGUUGAAGUUGCUGGUUUCUUCUCUGCAGUUUAGUCCAGAUCAGAAGCAGAAGACAGCAAGGUUUUGGAGACUUCGAGGCCUGUUUUCAGUGUCUUCCCAGCCUCCGUUGGUGUCGCCGCUUUGGGGUUUAUCGACCGCCUUGGCGUCGCCUUCGCCGUGGACUCGCCGGAAUGUUAAUCCGGUGAGUUUAUACUCUAAUUCUUGCUUAGUGAGUUAAUGAUGCUUAAGGGAUGUUUAGAUUAGUCUAAUUAGGUUUAUGUGAUUAAAUUAGAUUAUUUUAAUGUAAAUUAGAUUAGUUGUAUGAUUAGUUUAAUUGAUGCUUAAUUAGGGCUAAUUGUAUGUUUAAAUUAGUGUAAUCUAGUUUAAGCCCUAAUUAAUUAUUUUUAAUUAAAUAAUUAUUUCGAAUUUAUAAAUAUUAUUUUAUUAAAUUAUAUUAUUAUAAAAUAAUAUUUAAUUAUUUAAUUUUCGGAAUUAAAUUUAAUUAUUUAAUAAUUUCGAAAAUUAUGCCAAGAUGGCCGGUCGUUAGAAUUUCGCGCUGAUCGCAGCAGUGUGGUCGGUUUGUGUUAAUUGUAAGCUUAAAUUAAGGAAUUGAGUUAAUGACGAUUAUGGUUAAUUAUUCCUAAGUGAGGAAUUGAAUAAAAUUGGAGAAGUUUUGGUAUUUAACUUGAAAAUACCUGGUGUUAGCUUCUAACACCGUGAUUGGUUUGUAUGGCCAGUUUGAAUCUAUUGAUUGAUUUGAUUGAGGAUUGGUUUGGGUUAUUGUUGAAUUGAUAGCUUUGGCGAGCAGUUGUUUAUAUAUGUAUCAGCUUGGGCAAGCAAAUAUUAUAUACAUAUAUGCUACAGCUUCAGUGAGCUAUCUAUACGCUACAGCUUCAGUGAGCUAUCUAUACGCUACAGCUUCAGUGAGCUAUUAUAUGAGCUACAGCUUUGGCGAGCUAUUAUAUUAUCUAUCAGCUAUAGCUUCAGCGAGCUACCAUCUAUAUAAUAUAGCUUUGGAGAGCAUUUGUCGUAUUAACGACUGGCUUGAUAGACGGUAUGGAAAGAUAGAUAAUAUGAUUGAAUUGAAUCAUUGCGAAUGAUUGGAUUGAUUGAAUUGAUAGACCGAUGGGUAUGUCGGUAGUUUCAGCUUGUGCGAGUAUUGUUGAAUAUGAAUUGUACUGACGUGCAGGAAAGGGACUGAGGCGAGGUAAGCCCACUAUCCUAUUUGUGUGGCUAGAGCGCCCUGAGGCGUAUUUUCUCCCUAAUUGAGUUUUAGAGGGUAGGACUCGCUGAGACGUAGUCUCAUCCCGGUUGUGGGAUAAUAUUUCAGGUCCCUAGAUGACGGUCGUGGAGGACCGGAAGUCCUUGAGUUCGGAAGCUGGAGGCUGAAGAAUCGGGGAACGUGUCUGACAAGUGGGUCAUAGGACAGUUCCCUAGUUGUUGAGCCUGUCUAUUUUGUAGACAAUCCAGUGUUGUAUAUAAACCUAUGUGUUUAUAAGAAAGCUUGU